This 253-nucleotide ribosomal RNA is filed under the name uncultured bacterium. RNAcentral's name for it is "partial 16S ribosomal RNA". It matches the Rfam family "Bacterial small subunit ribosomal RNA", at positions 524 to 776 of the family's 1533-position model. The record is from RNAcentral.
UACGUAGGCAGCAAGCGUUGUUCGGAAUUACUGGGCGUAAAGAGUGUGUAGGCGGUGCUCUAAGUUCGGUGUGAAAUCUCCCGGCUUAACUGGGAGGGUGCGCCGGAAACUGGAGUGCUUGAGCGCGGGAGAGGAAAGCGGAAUUCCUGGUGUAGCGGUGAAAUGCGUAGAUAUCAGGAGGAACACCUGUGGUGUAGACGGCUUUCUGGACCGUAGCUGACGCUGAGGAGCGAAAGCGUGGGGAGCGAACAGG